AAUACUUGUCGCUUUGAGUUUUUGUUUGUAACUUUUGAUCAUUCAUCUUAUUCAAAAAAAUUUUGGAAUUAUUAUUUAUUUUGUUUGUGACUUGCUUUAUUAUCAAAAGUACUUUGAGUAUGACUUAUCCUUUUAUAUAUUUGCACUAUUUUUUCAAAUAAGACUAAUGGUCAAACGUUGCAAGAAAAAAGUCAAAGCGACCACUAAU
Molecule: non-coding RNA, 208 nt
Organism: Oryza glumipatula
Lineage: Eukaryota; Viridiplantae; Streptophyta; Magnoliopsida; Poales; Poaceae
Source: Rfam